AUAUCAAUAGGCGGAGGAGAAGAAAUUAACUAAGAUUGCCCUAGUAACGGCGAGUGGAGCGGCAAAAGCCCAAAAUGUAAAUCUAGUACCUUCGGUACUCGAAUUGUAAUCUAAAGUUUUCAUUGUCAAUUGGUGGUGAUGCAGAAGUGCCCACGAACGGGCCGCCAGAGAGGGUGACAGCCCCGUAUGUGGUAUCAUCGCCUAACGAGAAUGAUUUCUAAGAGUCGGGUUGUUUUGUAUUGCAGCCCUAAGUGGGAGAUAAACUUCUUCUAAGGCUAAGUAUAUAUGGGAGACCGAUAGCGCACAAGUA
RNAcentral lists this ribosomal RNA (310 nucleotides) under uncultured eukaryote. RNAcentral describes it as "partial large subunit ribosomal RNA". It matches the Rfam family "Eukaryotic large subunit ribosomal RNA", at positions 40 to 350 of the family's 3401-position model. The record is from RNAcentral.